UCGGGUAGGGUGUAGAUUUUUCUGCACCGGUGGGAAAAAGGUGCAAGAACGGAACUGCACCGUUUUUAAAAACGAACGAUUCCAGUGCAAGUUUGCCUACGCCGGUGCAAGCAGUGCGAAUAAACGAAAACGACAUAAACAACUAGUGCCCUUUGGAUUUGGCUUACGGUGAGAUUAUCUCGAUUUUUUAUUUGUUUAUGUUUUGAUCUACCCGCACGAAACCGGACCAGGCAAAGUGAGGAGGACAACGAGAGGGCAACAAGAAUCACUUUUGGCAGACAUCGUUAGGAAAAAGGAAGGUAAAGCGGAAUCACUCCUUGGCCUGGACACACAAUUGAUUCGUUAAAUUCCGACGCGGUGAUCAUGAUGGCCCCUUGCGAGUUCAUCGUCUUUUCCUUGCAAACGAAAUUAAAUCGAUCGUUGGCAGCAGGUGGGGACAGCGGAGAUCAACAACAUCACACUUUUUUCCGGCCCGAAACGUUACUAUUCCGAGAAGCAGGAAUUGUAGUAAGCCACCGAAAGUGUUAACGCGGGAAUGUUUGGUCUGUUCAAGGAUCUGGAUCCGGGUCGGUUCGUAUUUUUCCUAAAAUUUAUUGUUUCUUACGGAGUUGCAGCGCUAGUUGCGGUAAUUUUUACUAAUUGAUAAAAAAUGUAUUUUCUAUGUUUUUUCCCCAAUAUUGUCUUCCAGUAUGAUAUGUUAAUAGAAUAACAGUAUCUGCA
Long non-coding RNA from Armigeres subalbatus, 720 nucleotides. RefSeq lists it as uncharacterized. The transcript is spliced from 2 exons. Lineage: Eukaryota; Metazoa; Arthropoda; Insecta; Diptera; Culicidae. The record is from RefSeq and is a predicted model, not a curated record.